Molecule: small RNA, 395 nt
Filed under: Arabidopsis thaliana (thale cress)
Lineage: Eukaryota; Viridiplantae; Streptophyta; Magnoliopsida; Brassicales; Brassicaceae
Description: ATSL279450
Source: RNAcentral
AUAAGAAUAUUUAAUAUGUAAUUCGUACCGCUUUUUUUCUUUUUUACCAUUCAAAUAUUUAUAGUGUACCGCAAAUACUUUAUUUCACCAAUCAAAGAUUAUUCUGUACCGCCCGUUCUUUAAAAACCGCACUUAUCCCAUAAAUAUAUUUCUUCCGCACGUACCACAAUUAAACCGUACUGCACUAUAAAACCGCUUUUCCGGCACAACUAAGGUUGUGAAUGGGAGCAUUGAAAUCGUGGAUUUCAAUAAUUAUUUUCGAAAACCGCACAUCAUUUACCAAUCAGCACUUAUAACUAUACGUUUGAGUUUUUUUUCUUUAAAAAAAACAUAUUGCGUUUUUCAGAAAUAAGUAAAAACACAUGGACUGCUUUUCAAUUUGGAAUACCUUUUUU